Molecule: ribosomal RNA, 785 nt
Filed under: uncultured bacterium
Lineage: Bacteria
Description: bacterial SSU rRNA
Rfam family: Bacterial small subunit ribosomal RNA
Source: RNAcentral
CAGUCGAGCGGAGAUUAUUAAGCGGAGAGCUUCGGCAGGAAGCUUAACNNNCUUAGCGGCGGACGGGUGAGUAACGUGUGGGCAACCUGCCCUGUACUGUGGAAUAAUCACUGGAAACGGUGACUAAUACCGCAUGUCAUCUAAGGAAGGCAUCUUCUUUAGAGAAAAGGAUUUAUUCGGUACAGGAUGGGCCCGCAUCUGAUUAGCUAGUUGGUGAGAUAACAGCCCACCAAGGCAACGAUCAGUAGCCGACCUGAGAGGGUGAUCGGCCACAUUGGGACUGAGACACGGCCCAAACUCCUACGGGAGGCAGCAGUGGGGAAUAUUGCACAAUGGGCGAAAGCCUGAUGCAGCAACGCCGCGUGAAGGAUGAAGGGUUUCGGCUCGUAAACUUCUAUCAAUAGGGACGAAAAAAAUGACGGUACCUAAAUAAGAAGCCCCGGCUAACUACGUGCCAGCAGCCGCGGUAAUACGUAGGGGGCAAGCGUUAUCCGGAAUUACUGGGUGUAAAGGGAGAGUAGGCGGCAUGGUAAGCCAGAUGUGAAAGCCUUGGGCUUAACCCGAGGAUUGCAUUUGGAACUAUCAAGCUAGAGUACAGGAGAGGUAAGUGGAAUUCCUAGUGUAGCGGUGAAAUGCGUAGAUAUUAGGAAGAACACCAGUGGCGAAGGCGACUUACUGGACUGAAACUGACGCUGAGGCUCGAAAGCGUGGGGAGCGAACAGGAUUAGAUACCCUGGUAGUCCACGNCGUNNNCGAUGAGUGCUAGGUGUCGGGGGGNNACCCUC